GCAUGGGGAAGACCUGAUUGUGACUCCUUUUGCUCAGGUUCUUGCCAGUCUUCGCACAGUGAGGAACAACUUCACCACCUUGACCAGUGUACAAUGCACCUCCAAUAAGAGGUCACCAGCCGCCCCACAGCCUCCUGUAACCAGAGUCUGUCUGUCAGGUGAG
Long non-coding RNA from Salvelinus sp. IW2-2015, 163 nucleotides. RefSeq lists it as uncharacterized. Lineage: Eukaryota; Metazoa; Chordata; Actinopteri; Salmoniformes; Salmonidae. The record is from RefSeq and is a predicted model, not a curated record.